GAACGCGAAGAACCUUACCAGGUCUUGACAUCCCUCUGACCGCCCUAGAGAUAGAGUUUUCCUUCGGGACAGAGGUGACAGGUGGCGCAUGGUUGUCGCCAGCUCGUGUCGUGAGAUGUUGGGUUAAGUCCCGCAACGAGCGCAACCCCUAUUGUUAGUUGCCAUCAUUCAGUUGGGCACUCUAGCGAGACUGCCGGUAAUAAACCGGAGGAAGGUGGGGAUGACGUCAAAUCAUCAUGCCCCUUAUGACCUGGGCUACACACGUGCUACAAUGGCUGGUACAACGAGUCGCAAGCCGGUGACGGCAAGCUAAUCUCUUAAAGCCAGUCUCAGUUCGGAUUGUAGGCUGCAACUCGCCUACAUGAAGUCGGAAUCGCUAGUAAUCGCGGAUCAGCACGCCGCGGUGAAUACGUUCCCGGGUCUUGUACACACC
Molecule: ribosomal RNA, 433 nt
Filed under: uncultured bacterium
Lineage: Bacteria
Description: bacterial SSU rRNA
Rfam family: Bacterial small subunit ribosomal RNA
Source: RNAcentral